GAUGAACGCUGGCGGCGUGCCUAAUACAUGCAAGUCGAGCGAACGGACGAGAAGCUUGCUUUUCUGAUGUUAGCGGCGGACGGGUGAGUAACACGUGGAUAACCUACCUAUAAGACUGGGAUAACUUCGGGAAACCGGAGCUAAUACCGGAUAAUAUUUUGAACCGCAUGGUUCAAAAGUUAAAUACGGUCUUGCUGUCACUUAUAGAUGGAUCCGCGCUGCAUUAGCUAGUUGGUAAGGUAACGGCUUACCAAGGCAACGAUGCAUAGCCGACCUGAGAGGGAGAUCGCCCACACUGGAACUGAGGCACGGUCCAGACUCCUACGGGAGGCAGCAGUAGGGAAUCUUACGCGAUGGGCGAAAGCCUGACGGAGCAACGCCGCGUGAGUGAUGAAGGUCUUCGGAUCGUAAAACUCUGUUAUUAGGGAAGAACAUAUGUGUAAGUAACUGUGAACAUAUUGACGGUACCGAAUCAGAAAGCCACGGCUAACUACGUG
Molecule: ribosomal RNA, 497 nt
Filed under: uncultured bacterium
Lineage: Bacteria
Description: partial 16S ribosomal RNA
Rfam family: Bacterial small subunit ribosomal RNA
Source: RNAcentral